UACGGAGGGUGCAAGCGUUAAUCGGAAUUACUGGGCGUAAAGCGCGCGUAGGCGGCACGAUCAGUCCGCUGUGAAAGCCCCGGGCUCAACCUGGGAACUGCAGUGGAUACUGUCGCGCUCGAGUGUGAAAGAGGGGGGUGGAAUUCCAGGUGUAGCGGUGAAAUGCGUAGAGAUCUGGAGGAACACCAGUGGCGAAGGCGGCCCCCUGGUUCAACACUGACGCUGAGGUGCGAAAGCGUGGGAGCAAACAGG
This 252-nucleotide ribosomal RNA is filed under the name uncultured bacterium. RNAcentral's name for it is "partial 16S ribosomal RNA". It matches the Rfam family "Bacterial small subunit ribosomal RNA", at positions 524 to 776 of the family's 1533-position model. The record is from RNAcentral.